AACGAACGCUGGCGGCAUGCCUAACACAUGCAAGUCGAACGAGACCUUCGGGUCUAGUGGCGCACGGGUGCGUAACGCGUGGGAACCUGCCCUUUGGUUCGGAAUAACUCCCCGAAAGGUGUGCUAAUACCGGAUAAUGUCUUCGGACCAAAGAUUUAUCGCCUUUGGAUGGGCCCGCGUUGGAUUAGCUAGUUGGUAGGGUAAAAGCCUACCAAGGCGACGAUCCAUAGCUGGUCUGAGAGGAUGAUCAGCCACACUGGGACUGAGACACGGCCCAGACUCCUACGGGAGGCAGCAGUGGGGAAUAUUGGACAAUGGGCGAAAGCCUGACGCAGCAAUGCCGCGUGAGUGAUGAAGGCCUUAGGGUUGUAAAGCUCUUUUACCCGGGAUGAUAAUGACGGUACCGGGAGAAUAAGCUCCGGCUAACUCCGUG
This 433-nucleotide ribosomal RNA is filed under the name uncultured bacterium. RNAcentral's name for it is "partial 16S ribosomal RNA". It matches the Rfam family "Bacterial small subunit ribosomal RNA", at positions 29 to 507 of the family's 1533-position model. The record is from RNAcentral.